GUCAUCACUUCAGCAGCACAUAUACUAAAAUUUGAAUGAUACAAGAUUAGCAUGCCCCUGCGUAAGGAUAAACAUGCAAAUUCAAGAAGCAUUCAUAUUUGUA
Molecule: small nuclear RNA, 103 nt
Filed under: Aotus nancymaae (Ma's night monkey)
Lineage: Eukaryota; Metazoa; Chordata; Mammalia; Primates; Aotidae
Source: RNAcentral